CCCUAUCUGCCGUGGGCGUUUGAGAUUUGAGAAGAGCUGCUCCUAGUACGAGAGGACCGGAGUGGACGAACCUCUGGUGUUCCGGUUGUGUCGCCAGACGCAUUGCCGGGUAGCUACGUUCGGACAGGAUAACCGCUGAAAGCAUCUAAGCGGGAAGCCCCCUUCAAGAUGAGAUCUCCCUGAGGACUUGAUCCUCCUAAAGGACCGUCGAAGACUACGACGUUGAUAGGCUGGGUGUGGAAGCGUUGUGAGGCGUUAAGCUAACCAGUACUAAUUGUCCGUGAGGCUUGACCAUAUAACCCUA
This 304-nucleotide ribosomal RNA is filed under the name Pseudomonadales bacterium. RNAcentral's name for it is "partial 23S ribosomal RNA". It matches the Rfam family "Bacterial large subunit ribosomal RNA", at positions 2636 to 2925 of the family's 2925-position model. The record is from RNAcentral. Lineage: Bacteria; Pseudomonadati; Pseudomonadota; Gammaproteobacteria; Pseudomonadales.